RNAcentral lists this long non-coding RNA (1050 nucleotides) under Heterocephalus glaber (naked mole-rat). Its description in RNAcentral is "lncRNA (ENSHGLG00000044264.1)". Lineage: Eukaryota; Metazoa; Chordata; Mammalia; Rodentia; Bathyergidae. The record is from RNAcentral.
GCGCUUGCAAGGCAGGCGCCUGAACCACUGAGCUAAAUCCCCGGCCCUGGCUUUUUUUUUUUUUUUUUUGAGACAGAGUCCCACUAUACAGGCCAAGCUGAACUUGAUCUUGCUAUGUAGCCCAGGAUGGCCUCAAACUCACCUGCCUCAGCCUCAUAGGUACGGGAAUUUCAGGAAGGAAGCCUCAGGUCCAGACAAAAGAGAAGAUUUGAGCGUGGGAUGGUGAUGGACGCCUACAAUCCCAGCUCCGUGGGAGCCAGAAAGUUGUCUGCAGGAGACUAGAAUCUUGAAGCGCAAGCCCCCAAUCUGGAUCCAACUACACCUUAAUAGGCUGCCCCAGAAGUCGCACAUUUCCAGAAAGAACAACUUCUCCCUUGCUUUUUAGCUGUGUGAACCUACACAUCUCUGAACCUGUUUCCUGUUGUAUCAAACCGUGCAGUAAAGUUUACUCCACAGGGGUACUGUGGGGACGAGAGCUAAGGCCCGAAAACCCCUUAACGAGGUUUGAUGCCGGCUGAACGUUCAAUCAGUCAUACUUAUUAUUUAUAUUAUGAUUGUUCUUAGUCUAACGUAUCUAGCUCAGUGAUUGGCAGACAAUGGGUACUGAAGGUGGCUAUAACUAUCACUGCCUAAAAACUCUAGAGCACAGAGCCUGGCAUUUAGCAGGUGCAGAAUAAAUGGUAGACAGCUUUUUUUUUUUUUAACCUAAGGACAAAAAAAGCAUAUUUUCAACCCCAACGUCUCUGUGAAGUUACGGUACUCGUUUUUGCUCGGCAACAGGCUCCUCUUACGUAAUCCUUCUCGGCCAAUGAGCAGAAAGGUGGGUGGAGUUUUAUCCGGCAGCCAAUAGCAGCCCUCAGCGGUGCGUAGGGUAGGCCCAGCAGGUUUGCAGCCUUGCUACUGAAGCGAAACCAGGCGGCAGUUCGAGGGGCGUGGAGUGUCUCCAAAUUCCCCAGCCUCUGCCCGUCAACCGCGUUCUGAUUGGUGCGGACCUUGGCGACUCACCCUCCGCCCGUCCCUCCCCUCCCCGCCCGGCUCCGCAGGAAGGGG